This 485-nucleotide ribosomal RNA is filed under the name uncultured bacterium. RNAcentral describes it as "SSU rRNA". It matches the Rfam family "Bacterial small subunit ribosomal RNA", at positions 26 to 521 of the family's 1533-position model. The record is from RNAcentral.
AGGACGAACGCUGGCGGCGUGCCUAACACAUGCAAGUCGAACGAGGUCCAACCGGUAGCAAUACUGGUGAAGAUCAAGUGGCGAACGGGUGAGUAGCACGUGAGCAACCUGCCCCGAAGACCGGGACAACACCGGGAAACCGGUGCUAAUACCGGAUACCCCCACCGAAUCGCAUGGUUUGGUGAGGAAAUGGAUUCCGCUUCGGGAGGGGCUCGCGGCCUAUCAGCUUGUUGGUGAGGUAACGGCUCACCAAGGCUUCGACGGGUAGCUGGUCUGAGAGGACGAUCAGCCACACUGGGACUGAGACACGGCCCAGACUCCUACGGGAGGCAGCAGUGGGGAAUCUUGCACAAUGGGCGAAAGCCUGAUGCAGCAACGCCGCGUGAGGGACGAAGGCUUUCUGAGUUGUAAACCUCUUUCAGCAGGGACGAUUGUGACGGUACCUGCAGAAGAAGCCCCGGCAACUACGUGCCAGCAGCCGCGGU